Molecule: ribosomal RNA, 807 nt
Filed under: Tricharina gilva
Lineage: Eukaryota; Fungi; Ascomycota; Pezizomycetes; Pezizales; Pyronemataceae
Description: partial large subunit ribosomal RNA
Rfam family: Eukaryotic large subunit ribosomal RNA
Source: RNAcentral
GGAUUGCCUUAGUAACUGCGAGUGAAGCGGCAAAAGCUCAAAUUUGAAAUCGGUGUCCUCUUCGGCGACCGAGUUGUAAUUUGGAGGGAUAACUUCGGGACGGACGACGUCGUAAGUUCCUUGGAACAGGACGUCAUAGAGGGUGAGAAUCCCGUGCCUUGGUGGCUGGCCGAGCCAUGUGAAGUGUCUCCGACGAGUCGAGUUGUUUGGGAAUGCAGCUCAAAAUGGGUGGUAAAUUUCAUCUAAAGCUAAAUAUUGGCGAGAGACCGAUAGCGCACAAGUAGAGUGAUCGAAAGAUGAAAAGCACUUUGAAAAGAGAGUUAAAAAGUACGUGAAAUUGUUGAAAGGGAAGCGCUUGCGACCAGACUCGAUCUUUGGUGAUCAGCCGGGCUUCGGUCCGGUGCCCUCACCAUUGAUUGGGCCAGCAUCGGUUCUGACGGCGGGAUAAAAGGAGGAGGAAUGUGGCUCCCUUCGGGGAGUGUUAUAGCCUCCUUCACAAUGCCGCCAGUUGGGACCGAGGACCGCGCUUCGGCUAGGAUGCUGGCGUAAUGGUCUUAAGCGACCCGUCUUGAAACACGGACCAAGGAGUCUAACAUCUAUGCGAGUGUUCGGGUGGAAAACCCUUGCGCGUAAUGAAAGUGAACGGAGGUGUGAACCCUUUACGGGGUGCAACAUCGACCGGUCCUGAUGUCUUCGGAAGGAUCUGAGUAAGAGCAUAGCUGUUGGGACCCGAAAGAUGGUGAACUAUGCCUGAAUAGGGUGAAGCCAGAGGAAACUCUGGUGGAGGCUCGCAGCGGUUCUGACGUU